UAUUUCGGGUAAUCGCUACGUAAAGUAGAGGAAAGUCCAUGCUCACACAUUCUGAGAUGAAUGUAGUGUUCGUGCUUGGUGAAACAAUAAGCCAGGGCAAUUAUUGACGGCAACGAAAUAACCUAAGUUUAUUUUAAAUAUGGUUAGUGUAGUUUGAAAGUGCCACAGUGACGUAGCUUCUACAGAAAUGUAGAAGGUGGAACGCGGUAAACCCCUCGAGUGAGCAAUCCAAAAUUGGUAGGAGCACUUCUUUGACGGAAAUGAACGGAAUAAGAAGGUAUGUUAAACAUACAGACAGAUGAUUAUCACUGGCGUACGAGUGUAACUAGUACACGUUUGAAGUACUAAAGGACAGAACAUGGCUUACAGAU
Molecule: RNase P RNA, 371 nt
Filed under: Mammaliicoccus lentus
Lineage: Bacteria; Bacillati; Bacillota; Bacilli; Caryophanales; Staphylococcaceae
Description: Staphylococcus lentus RNase P RNA component class B
Rfam family: Bacterial RNase P class B
About the family: Ribonuclease P (RNase P) is a ubiquitous endoribonuclease, found in archaea, bacteria and eukarya as well as chloroplasts and mitochondria. Its best characterised activity is the generation of mature 5'-ends of tRNAs by cleaving the 5'-leader elements of precursor-tRNAs.
Source: RNAcentral